Etheostoma cragini (Arkansas darter) is the source of this 145-nucleotide long non-coding RNA. RefSeq lists it as uncharacterized. NCBI's taxonomy places the organism in Eukaryota, Metazoa, Chordata, Actinopteri, Perciformes, Percidae. The record is from RefSeq and is a predicted model, not a curated record. The transcript has 3 exons.
GAUUUUAACAUGGACAACGACUGUUUCAAUUUGCACAAUUUGUGUCUUAUGUUUUAGAAUAGUGUGUUCUUGUCUGCUCGGUGUCUGUAAUGUGCUUCAACAGCCAGGAACAAGGGCUUAAACACUUUCAAGCUGAGAGGACUAU